GUGGGGAAUAUUGGACAAUGGGCGCAAGCCUGAUCCAGCCAUGCCGCGUGAGUGAUGAAGGCCUUAGGGUUGUAAAGCUCUUUUGUCCGGGAAGAUAAUGACUGUACCGGAAGAAUAAGCCCCGGCUAACUUCGUGCCAGCAGCCGCGGUAAUACGAAGGGGGCUAGCGUUGUUCGGAAUCACUGGGCGUAAAGCGCACGUAGGCGGACCAUUAAGUCAGGGGUGAAAGCCUGGAGCUCAACUACAGAACUGCCUUUGAUACUGAUGGUCUCGAGUAUGGAAGAGGUUGGUGGAACUGCGAGUGUAGAGGUGAAAUUCGUAGAUAUUCGCAAGAACACCGGUGGCGAAGGCGGCCAACUGGUCCAGUACUGACGCUGAGGUGCGAAAGCGUGGGGAGCAAACAGGAUUAGAUACCCGUGUAGUCC
Molecule: ribosomal RNA, 425 nt
Filed under: uncultured bacterium
Lineage: Bacteria
Description: partial 16S ribosomal RNA
Rfam family: Bacterial small subunit ribosomal RNA
Source: RNAcentral